This is a long non-coding RNA of Balaenoptera ricei (Rice's whale), 378 nucleotides long. RefSeq lists it as uncharacterized. NCBI's taxonomy places the organism in Eukaryota, Metazoa, Chordata, Mammalia, Artiodactyla, Balaenopteridae. The record is from RefSeq and is a predicted model, not a curated record. The transcript is spliced from 3 exons.
GAGCGGGCUUCCUGCACGAGGUCGCCGCUCAGAGGCUGAUUGGACGGAAUCUCGCGACACCCAAGGCCUCUUCAGAAACCCCUUGUGUCCCCUGGCAUCCGUUGGUCACUGCUUCACCCCUGAGGCUUGGUGUCGGCCCGGGCUCCAGCAUUGGUCCUUCCAUAGUCUCAUCCACCUCAUCCUCCGUCUUGGAAAAUAAUCCGCUGGAUGCUCCUGCAGGCAGCUGUGGAGAGGAGGAGGAACUCAGACAAUACCCUGAGGGUCUGGAGAUGCAGAAUAGGUCUCAGAUGGGAAGGCUGACUUCCUGGUCCUAUUCCAUUCUGAGUCCCGGAGCAUUACCCUAACUGGCCAUGAAUACAACUGUUGACAGGACCGAGG